Molecule: long non-coding RNA, 3619 nt
Organism: Trachemys scripta elegans
Lineage: Eukaryota; Metazoa; Chordata; Testudines; Emydidae
Exons: 3
Source: RefSeq, a predicted model, not a curated record
AUCCCCUCACGCUUAUCUCAAGGUUACAUGGGGUCAACAGCUGGCUACAUUCAUUGUACUCAUUAUAUAAGCUAACUUGUUUACAGACAAAAACAUGCUGAACUAUACUAAACUACAUUUUGGCAGGGUCUGACGAACAAAGUUCAUUGCAUGGCCUUCAACUACACAGCCUGCAUCUUCCGCUCACACUCAGUCUGCCACUUAGCUCCUCGCCGAGCUUCCACAACCUGUCCCCUACAGCAAGCACUGGAGAACAUUGAUAUUCUGGCGGUCCCCAAGUGGAAAUGUGAAUCUCUGUAUAUUUAGGAGUUAUUUAAACAUCUUGUGACUGACCAGCACAUCUCGGGAUGGAGGGGCCUUGUGAAUUACAGAGGUGGCCCUAAUAAAUAUGCUUUGCCUCAGAACAUAACCAACCAUCUGGAGUUCCUACUACUUGAGAAGUUCACUUUUAUCACCAGCCAGUGGUCAAAUCAACAAGAUGCUGAUUUAGCAUAGAGAUGCAAUACAGUUUCCUCACAAGCACCCUGCAUCCAUGCACAGACCCUACUGACUGCCAGCCAUGGAGACUCCUAAUCCAGAGAGACUGCCACCCUCCGUUGUAAUAUGGACUCAUAUAUUUAAGCCAGCUAUGGACCAAACACACUCUGGUUUUGUUUGGACUCAUAACAGCCAAAUAUUUUUGGGACUCAGUUUACAGGCAACACAGGACAGUGCCCAUUUAUAAGGCACGCUCUAUUAGAUGAGAGAGGAAACUGACUUCAUUAGAAUCUAAAAUGAACAGCUCUGUCAAAUGGAUGGUUAAUAUGGAGCAGCAAGUAGAAGAAAUUGAGGUGAAACUCCAAGCAAGAGUUUAGAAAACACAUGGCUAUUGAAGAAAGAAUGUACCAUAAAAUGAUGGGACUUGUGCCAGGAUGGGGAGUUGUGUCCAAUACAUUCGGCAUGGCUUGCUUUCCCUUGGCUUGAACAGGCCAGGAAGUCCAUAACAUGCUGUGAUGGCAGACAGAGGAUACCAGUUGCAUUUCAAUAAAACAAUUUUCCUCAUUGGUGAGAAAUACCAGAGACAUAAAAAGGAUUGCUGUAAAAAUAUGAAUUCAGGAUAAGCUAAGUGGCUCUUAUCCUCCCAAAAGACAUAUGUGUUUGAGUUUUAUAUAAAUCCUGAAAGGAUACGAUUCCCAGCUCAUCCCAUUGUUGAAAGAGAUUACCUUCUGAGAGCUCUGGGCCUUUGGGGAUUAUGGAUCAGAGUCCAGAGAGGGAUGCACCCUGGUGUGAUAUACAGUGUUUAAGGUAUUUGUGCCAGAUAAUAGUGCAAUUCAAACAGCACUUAGUGCUAGUAAGAUUUCUUUUACUUUGGUUUUAGUGAACAUAGAUAAUAUAUUCUUAACUUCAUAUGGUUCCAUUAGCUCUUGAAAUAUAGAAAAGUGUGGAUCCUUUCUCUCCUCCUGGAGCUGGACCACCAGCAAAUGUGACACUCAAGAGUAGUAUUUAGAAGAAGGAACUGCCAUUCCUCUGCUUAACAAUACCUGAGCUGUUCACAAAUUGAAGAUAACAGUGAAAGGUUGCUCCUCCUUCCCUGGGCUCAGACAAAACCACUCAAUUUCCAGCUGGAGCUGUUAAAAGUCAGGCUAAUCCAUUGCUUCACAAUAUUCUAACCAUCCGUGGCACCUCAUGAAUACAUUUCUAUGUAAGAGAACAGUGCAGUAGCCCAAUCCCGGAGAAUUGCAAUGCCUUAGGUAGCUCUCCUGUACAGGAUACUGUGGUUAUCAAUCCUUCUGAUAAGGCUGGAGCAGUUGCUAUUUGGUAUGGAGGCUUGAAUAUUACUGCAUCAUACAUCAAACCUCUUGCACUGCUUUCUGCUGUAGCUUGUUCUAAAGAGCAGAUAAAUUCUCCACUGACAUCUCAAAUGCUAACGAGCCAGAAUUUUUCUCCUGCUUAGGGCUCACCUACACUAUAGUAAGAACUGUGUCAGGGGACUGGCUACAAAGUUGUUUCCAAACAAUCAUUUGGGGAUUGGUUAAAAUAUGAUUAGAUCUCAUAUAGUUUACAAGACAGAACUAUGUUUUAAGUAGGUUGGGUGACAACAACCAUGUUAUAAAUGAGUCUCCUGAUGCAGUUCUUGUAGUAAUGUAGAUAUGCCUUAACUGGGAAAUAAAAAUCUCAACGAAAAAGAGGUAGAUAAAUCUCUCACCUGUUCUCCUGGUGGAGGCAGCAUGGCAGUCUCUUACUUUGAUUCUCUGACUUCCAUGACCUCCAUGAUAUAAAUGUAGCCUUAAUCACCAUUGCUAGAACUGGUGGGAACUUUAAGAAAUAAAGACUAGUUACUACCAGGCCAAUAUGAUUCAGUUUUGCUAUGUAGAAAGAGUGUCCAAAGCUCAUGCCUUCUACUCACUCCCCUUCCAUUAGGAUUUUCAAAAUUAAGCAAAAGAAAAACAUAUAGGGAUGCAUUUUUAAAAGUAACCUUUAAACUUGCAAUACCAAUGCUGUAUGUGCAUUUUUUCACCUCUAUUUUCCAUGAACAAAAGCAGGAUGUGAAAUAAUAUUAGACCAGAAUUGCUGGUGCACAUUUAGCAGUCCCUUUGAAAAUUUGAUCCAUCCAAUCAAAUCCAGUGCUUUCAGUAUGACUGUGAGCCAGUUAGCGCCUCUGGAAGCCAUUCAGUUUCUGCUGUUGGGGUGUAGCUUGGUGGGACCAGAGAAGGUGCCCAAGACUGAUUUUUGGGUUAGGAGGGUGGAAUAGCACAAAUCCAACUGCAGGCACAUUGUACUGGAGGAGGCAUGUUGCAGAGUGGAAAACUUUUCUGCAGAAGGCUGGUACGACAAGGUGUGCAAGACUUUUAGUGAUAAAUGGGAAGAACUUUAUUAGGACAGGGACAUUCCAGUCUAUUCUUAUCCAAAUUCACAGCCAGGAAAAUGUGUCACAGACCAUGAAAUCUCGUCUCCCCCCUUGAAAUCUGGCUAGUGUAGGGGGAUUGUGGUAUUGCCACCCUUAUUGCUGCACUUUCUUCAGAGCUGGGCGACUAGAAAGUGGUGGCUGCUGGCCAGGUGCCCAGCUCUGAAGGCAGUGCUGCUGCCAGCAUCAGUGCAGAAGUGACGGUGGCAUAGUUUUGUGGGGUGGGUCAUUACUUUUUCGGGGGACAGGACCGGCUGUAUGGGUGGGUGACAUGGGCCACCACCCAGGGCACUGUGGUUGGGAUAUGUGUGAGUGUGGUGUGGUCACCCCCACAUACACAUACAGCCAGCCCAAGACCUCUUUAACCCCCAAGCACUGGACCCAGAGCCGGGGAGGGGCAGGGCUAGGGACACCCCUGAUGGGGGCUCCUACUGUGCGCUGGACUCCAGCUGCUAAUCCAGGCUGGGCUGGGAGGGAUGAGACUUCCUUUUCCAUGGCAUGGGCCACUCCCAGGGCUGGGUCAGACCCACCUCUGGGAAACUCCCCUGGCUGCAGGCUGGGAGUGCAGUUCUGAAGGCAGCGCUGCCACCAGCAGCAGCACAGAAGUGAGGGUGGCAUAGUAUGGUAUUGGAGCCCUCACUUCUGCAUUGUUGCUGGCGGUGGGGCAGAAGUAAGGAUUGCAAUACUGCAACCCUCCUUACAGUAGCCUUGCAACCCCCCACAACCCCCUUUUGU